AUGGAUACCAAUGAUUUCCUCCCUGAUGCUGUAACUUUUGAUACAAUUAUUGGUGCACUGCUCAAGAGAAAUGAGACCGAAAAGGCAGAGAAACUUCGUCAUGAAAUGAUGGAGAGAGGUCUGGUAAAUAUUGAAAAAAGGUCAGAUACUUUAGUUCCAUUUUAUUUAUUUACUUGCUUUUGGACAGUAACUUCAGCUUCAUUUUGGAUUAUGCUUCUAUAA
Non-coding RNA from Vicia faba (fava bean), 222 nucleotides. The record is from the annotation of a GenBank genome assembly. Lineage: Eukaryota; Viridiplantae; Streptophyta; Magnoliopsida; Fabales; Fabaceae.